Pelobates cultripes (western spadefoot toad) is the source of this 203-nucleotide non-coding RNA. NCBI's taxonomy places the organism in Eukaryota, Metazoa, Chordata, Amphibia, Anura, Pelobatidae. The record is from the annotation of a GenBank genome assembly.
AUAGUACAAAGAUUAUUAUCCAAUUAUUAGGUUAACACUUAUCUCUUACAUAUUUUGAUAACUGGUAGGCGUUCCUGGCAUUCCACACAUGCGCCCUGGUUCUAGAUGUUUACAUAGUAAUUUUAACAAUGUGAGGGCCUGAGGUUUUUCUGAGACAUUCUGCAACUUCUAUUACAUUACCCCCUUUCAUGCUUCAACACCUG